RNAcentral lists this ribosomal RNA (455 nucleotides) under uncultured bacterium. RNAcentral describes it as "bacterial SSU rRNA". It matches the Rfam family "Bacterial small subunit ribosomal RNA", at positions 1036 to 1498 of the family's 1533-position model. The record is from RNAcentral.
AGGUGCUGCAUGGUUGUCGUCAGCUCGCGCCGUGAGGUGUCGGGUUAAGUCCCAUAACGAGCGCAACCCCUACUCUUAGUUGCCAGCAUGUAAUGAUGGGGACUCUAGGAGAACUGCCUACGCAAGUAGAGAGGAAGGUGGGGAUGACGUCAAAUCAGCACGGCCCUUACGUCCAGGGCUACACACGUGCUACAAUGGCCGGUACAGAGGGCAGCCACCUGGUGACAGGGAGCGAAUCUCUAAAGCCGGUCUCAGUUCGGAUCGAAGUCUGCAACCCGACUUCGUGAAGCUGGAAUCGCUAGUAAUCGCGCAUCAGCCAUGGCGCGGUGAAUACGUUCCCGGGCCUUGUACACACCGCCCGUCAAGCCAUGGAAGCUGGGAUUAGGAAACAGCUAUGACCGCAAAGGAGCCGCGUAGGGUAAAACUGGUAACUAGGGCUAAGUCGUAACAAGGUA